RNAcentral lists this ribosomal RNA (750 nucleotides) under Pantoea stewartii. RNAcentral describes it as "bacterial SSU rRNA". It matches the Rfam family "Bacterial small subunit ribosomal RNA", at positions 47 to 785 of the family's 1533-position model. The record is from RNAcentral. Lineage: Bacteria; Pseudomonadati; Pseudomonadota; Gammaproteobacteria; Enterobacterales; Erwiniaceae.
CCUAAACACAUGCAAGUCGGACGGUAGCACAGAGGAGCUUGCUCCUCGGGUGACGAGUGGCGGACGGGUGAGUAAUGUCUGGGAAACUGCCCGAUGGAGGGGGAUAACUACUGGAAACGGUAGCUAAUACCGCAUAACGUCGCAAGACCAAAGUGGGGGACCUUCGGGCCUCACACCAUCGGAUGUGCCCAGAUGGGAUUAGCUUGUAGGCGGGGUAACGGCCCACCUAGGCGACGAUCCCUAGCUGGUCUGAGAGGAUGACCAGCCACACUGGAACUGAGACACGGUCCAGACUCCUACGGGAGGCAGCAGUGGGGAAUAUUGCACAAUGGGCGCAAGCCUGAUGCAGCCAUGCCGCGUGUAUGAAGAAGGCCUUCGGGUUGUAAAGUACUUUCAGCGGGGAGGAAGGUGCUGAGGUUAAUAACCUCAGCAAUUGACGUUACCCGCAGAAGAAGCACCGGCUAACUCCGUGCCAGCAGCCGCGGUAAUACGGAGGGUGCAAGCGUUAAUCGGAAUUACUGGGCGUAAAGCGCACGCAGGCGGUCUGUUAAGUCAGAUGUGAAAUCCCCGGGCUUAACCUGGGAACUGCAUUUGAAACUGGCAGGCUUGAGUCUCGUAGAGGGGGGUAGAAUUCCAGGUGUAGCGGUGAAAUGCGUAGAGAUCUGGAGGAAUACCGGUGGCGAAGGCGGCCCCCUGGACGAAGACUGACGCUCAGGUGCGAAAGCGUGGGGAGCAAACAGGAUUAGAUAU